CCUUUUGAAGAAUUUUGUAACUAGCCAGAAGGGUUUUUGAAGGCAUCUCUCAUAAGAUGGCAUUUGAGCAGAGACCUGAGGAAGUGAAAGAUGGAGGGCUGAAGAUUCCAAGUAGAGGAACAAGCAAAGACCCCAGGCAGGAUCAGGAAAGUGUGGUAGAGACAUAAUCAAAGAUUCAGACAAAGAUAUAACUACAGAAUGCACAUGAUAGUUUUGUUAAUACACCAAAAUGAAAAAAAUUAAAUAAUGGUGGACUCGCCCAAUAAAUUGUGACCAUCUAUACUUUGGAAUAACAUGAAGAUUGUUAAAAACUAUGUUUACAAGAAUGGCAAUAACAGAGAAACACUUGCUAUAUAAUUUUCACAAAAACAAGGUAUAAAAAUACUAUAUAUAUAAUAAAAUUCAAAUUUUUAAGAGAAAUUGAAAUGUAUAGAAAACAUUGCAAAAGGAUACACUUAAUAACCUCUUUUUCAGCAUGGUAGAAUUGUGGGUGAUUUUUGUUCCCUUUAUAUUUUUUAAUACUUUGUACUUUUUAAUGACAAAUGUAUAUACUACCAUUUAAUGAUAAAAAUAUACUUUUAAAAUACUGGAUAAGAAUUAUUCAAAUAAAUGCCUUAUUUAAAAGUUAAA
RNAcentral lists this long non-coding RNA (630 nucleotides) under Pongo abelii (Sumatran orangutan). RNAcentral's name for it is "lincRNA". Lineage: Eukaryota; Metazoa; Chordata; Mammalia; Primates; Hominidae. The record is from RNAcentral.